Long non-coding RNA from Calidris pugnax (ruff), 465 nucleotides. RefSeq lists it as uncharacterized. The record is from RefSeq and is a predicted model, not a curated record. The transcript is spliced from 3 exons. Lineage: Eukaryota; Metazoa; Chordata; Aves; Charadriiformes; Scolopacidae.
GCUAUAAAUCAAACCAUUUCCAAAUUCUUCAUCAAUCUCCGGCUUUCAGGAAGUUAUAAGGAAAGUGGAACAGAGAGAGGGUAUUGUAACUGACGGAGAAGAAAAUAUCUACUCUUUGCAAUCCUUGUUGGAGCAGCUUGGUGUUCAUUUCACUGCAGGCUGUAUUGAAAAGUGAUUACCUGGGAGGGUUUUAGUUACAUUGGACUUCAACAAAGGCAGCACCAGAUGAUCAAGAAGCAUUUUAAACGCAAGCUCAGGCCUUCUUUAUUUUUUAUGAACUGCUUACUAGCCCCCAUGGCUAAUGCUUUGAGUUGGCUCAUUUGCUUCUGUAGCCAUAGGAUCUUCCAGAGAGGGACCUUUUCCCUCUCACCGGAUUGCAGCACAGACUGCCAGACCCACUGUCUCAUAGACUGCGGGCAGGGACAUUACUACGUAGCUGGCAACUGCUUGGAAUGUCCGACAGGU